This is a long non-coding RNA of Ailuropoda melanoleuca (giant panda), 452 nucleotides long. RefSeq lists it as uncharacterized. The transcript is spliced from 3 exons. The record is from RefSeq and is a predicted model, not a curated record. NCBI's taxonomy places the organism in Eukaryota, Metazoa, Chordata, Mammalia, Carnivora, Ursidae.
GGAGGAUUUAAACCGAGGUCACAGAGCCAGACUGCUGGGGUCCUGGGGUCCUCUUAUGACGUAAAAAAGCCCAGUGCCAAGAGCGAAGGAUUUGGAGACAGACUGCAAAGGUCCCCACCCCAGCUCCUCUACCUGGAGAGGCUGAAAAGCUCAAUGAAAUUUCCCACCUUCCUGGGAGCAAGGGGAGGCCACUUGACACAUUUCUGGUCAGUGAGAUGCAACACAGGGAAGACUGAGGAACCAUUACAGCCUGGAGGAUAGGAAGGAGACAGGGCAGCCCCACACGGUGUGGCAUCCUGAGGAGGAUCCUGGCAUAGAGGACGGUCGUCGGUGGAAAAGAAGCAAAACAUGACUAAACCCUGUGACUGAGUUCAUCAUACCAGCGCUCGUUUCCUGGUUCUGGUAAUCGUACCAAGGUGCAUAAGACGGUAACGUGAGGGGAUGCUGGGUGA